This 274-nucleotide long non-coding RNA is filed under the name Mytilus galloprovincialis (Mediterranean mussel). The record is from RNAcentral. Lineage: Eukaryota; Metazoa; Mollusca; Bivalvia; Mytilida; Mytilidae.
UGUUUCUCAUUUUUCUUUUCAUAUUUCGGUUCUUGUCUCAAUCUACGCCUUGGUGAUACUCCAACAACUUCUUUUCAACAACAAUAACGGGUACACCAGUAGAUAGUAUAAUAGGCCAGGGCCGUAACUACAUUGAGGCAAAUGAGGCAAAUGCCUCAUGUUUUAAAUUUCAAAAAAAAAAAACUAAAACUAAAGAUUGUCUUCAUAUCAAAUUGUUUUCACUGAGAGUGUCUUGCAAGAAGCAAGUUCUCUUCACUCUCUGAUGUCGCCCCUG